GAUGAACGCUGGCGGCGUGCCUAACACAUGCAAGUCGAGCGAAGCGCUUUGCUUAGAUUCUUCGGAUGAGGAGGAUUGUGACUGAGCGGGCGGACGGGUGAGUAACGCGUGGGUAACCUGCCUCAUACAGGGGGAUAACAGUUAGAAAUGACUGCUAAUACCGCAUAAGCCCACAGCACCGCAUGGUGCAGCGGGAAAAGGAGCAAUUCGCUUCAGGAUGGCCUCGCGUCCAAUUAGGUAGAUGGUGAGGUAACGGCCCACCAUGCCGACGAUUGGUAGCCGGACUGAGAGGUUGAACGGCCACAUUGGGACUGAGACACGGCCCAG
Molecule: ribosomal RNA, 327 nt
Filed under: uncultured bacterium
Lineage: Bacteria
Description: bacterial SSU rRNA
Rfam family: Bacterial small subunit ribosomal RNA
Source: RNAcentral